This 178-nucleotide ribosomal RNA is filed under the name Holostephanus dubinini. RNAcentral describes it as "5.8S ribosomal RNA". The stretch from base 23 to 175 matches the Rfam family "5.8S ribosomal RNA". From Rfam's summary of the family: 5.8S ribosomal RNA (5.8S rRNA) is a component of the large subunit of the eukaryotic ribosome. It is transcribed by RNA polymerase I as part of the 45S precursor that also contains 18S and 28S rRNA. Functionally, it is thought that 5.8S rRNA may be involved in ribosome translocation. The record is from RNAcentral. Lineage: Eukaryota; Metazoa; Platyhelminthes; Trematoda; Diplostomida; Cyathocotylidae.
UUUGUGUUGGUCUAUACUGUACAACUCUGAGCGGUGGAUCACUCGGCUCGUGUGUCGAUGAAGAGUGCAGCCAACUGUGUGAAUUAAUGUGAACUGCGCAAUGCUUUGAACAUCGACAUCUUGAACGCAUAUUGCGGCCGCGGGAUAUCCCGUGGCCACGUCUGGCCGAGGGUCGGCU